GACGAACGCUGGCGGCGUGCCUAAUACAUGCAAGUAGAACGCACAGUUUAUACCGUAGCUUGCUACACCAUAGACUGUGAGUUGCGAACGGGUGAGUAACGCGUAGGUAACCUUUCUGGUAGCGGGAGAUAACUAUUGGUAACGAUAGCUAAUACCUCAUAAUAUUGAUUAUUGCAUGAUAAUUGAUUGAAAGUUGCUAUGGCAUCACUACCAGAUGGAUCUGCGUUGGAUUAGGUAGUAGGCGAGGUAACGGCGAAACUAGGCGGCGAUACAUAGCCGACUGGCGAGGGUGAGCGGCCAACCUGGGACGGAGAGAGGGCACAGACUCCUUCGGGAGGCAGCAGUAGGGAAUCGUCGGGGAGGGAGGAAAGUCUGACCGAGCAACGCCGCGGGAGUGAGGAAGGUUGUCGGGUCGUGAAGGUCUGUUGUAAGAGAAGAAAGGGUGUGAGAGUGAAAAGUUCACACUGUGACGGUACCUUAACAGAAAGGGACGGCUAACUACGUG
RNAcentral lists this ribosomal RNA (505 nucleotides) under uncultured bacterium. Its description in RNAcentral is "partial 16S ribosomal RNA". It matches the Rfam family "Bacterial small subunit ribosomal RNA", at positions 28 to 507 of the family's 1533-position model. The record is from RNAcentral.